GGUCUGCAGUCGGUAAGCGAAGUGAUAAGUAACCACCUGGGAGUACGUCGCAAGGUGAGCUCAAAGGAUUGACGGGSCCSACAASGUGGAGCAUGWGGUUUAGAUUCGAUGAUACAGCGAGGCACCUUACCACGGCUUAAAUGUAGAUUGCGAGGUUUAGAGAUAGACUUUSCUUCGGGCAAUUUACAAGGUGCUGCAUGCUUGUSGUCAGCUCGUGCCGUGAGGUGUCAGGUUAAGUGCUAUAACGGAGCGCAACCCCURUUGUUAGUUGCCAGCUGAGUCAUKUCGGGGAACUCUAGCAAGACUCGCCGGGUGCAAACCGGASAGGAAGGUGGGGGAUGACGUCAAAUCAUCACGGCCCUUACGUCCUGGGCCACACACGUGCUACAAUGGUAGGUACAGAGAGCAGCCACUGGUGACCAGGAGCGAAUCUAUAAAGCCUAUCACAGUUCGGAUCGGAGUCUGCAACUCGACUCCGUGAAGCUGAAUCGCUAGUAAUCGGAUAUCAGCAUGAUCCGGUGAAUACGUCCGGCUA
Molecule: ribosomal RNA, 535 nt
Filed under: sponge bacterium Ex26
Lineage: Bacteria
Description: bacterial SSU rRNA
Rfam family: Bacterial small subunit ribosomal RNA
Source: RNAcentral